AACGAACGCUAGCGGUGUGGAUUAGGCAUGCAAGUCGCGCGCGAAAGCCUUCGGGCGAGUAAAGCGGCGAAAGGGUGAGUAACACGUAACCAACGUACCCUCAGACUGGGAGUAACCACUGGAAACGGUAGGAUAAUACCGGAUGGUCCACUGGGCGAGCAUUGCCUGGCUGGUAAACGGCGGCUGCAAGGCGGUUGCUGAGGGAGCGGGUUGCGGCCUAUCAGCUUGUUGGUGAGGUAACGGCUCACCAAGGCUAUGACGGGUAACAGGUCUGAGAGGAUGAUCUGUCACACUGGGACUGAGACACUGCCCAGACUCCUACGGGAGGCUGCAGUCGAGAAUCUUCCACAAUGGGCGAAAGCCUGAUGGAGCGACACCGCGUGCAGGAUGAAGGCC
This 396-nucleotide ribosomal RNA is filed under the name uncultured bacterium. RNAcentral's name for it is "bacterial SSU rRNA". It matches the Rfam family "Bacterial small subunit ribosomal RNA", at positions 29 to 416 of the family's 1533-position model. The record is from RNAcentral.